GAUGAACGCUGGCGGCGUGCCUAAUACAUGCAAGUCGAGCGAACAGAUGAGGAGCUUGCUCCUCUGACGUUAGCGGCGGACGGGUGAGUAACACGUGGAUAACCUACCUAUAAGACUGGGAUAACUUCGGGAAACCGGAGCUAAUACCGGAUAAUAUAUUGAACCGCAUGGUUCAAUAGUGAAAGACGGUUUUGCUGUCACUUAUAGAUGGAUCCGCGCCGCAUUAGCUAGUUGGUAAGGUAACGGCUUACCAAGGCAACGAUGCGUAGCCGACCUGAGAGGGUGAUCGGCCACACUGGAACUGAGACACGGUCCAGACUCCUACGGGAGGCAGCAGUAGGGAAUCUUCCGCAAUGGGCGAAAGCCUGACGGAGCAACGCCGCGUGAGGGAUGAAGGUCUUCGGAUCGUAAAACUCUGUUAUUAGGGAAGAACAAAUGUGUAAGUAACUAUGCACGUCUUGACGGUACCUAAUCAGAAAGCCACGGCUAACUACGUG
RNAcentral lists this ribosomal RNA (497 nucleotides) under uncultured bacterium. RNAcentral describes it as "partial 16S ribosomal RNA". It matches the Rfam family "Bacterial small subunit ribosomal RNA", at positions 28 to 507 of the family's 1533-position model. The record is from RNAcentral.